CAAUAGCGUAUAUUAAAGUUGCUGCGUUUAAAAAGCUCGUAGUUGGAUCUCGGUUCCAGGCUUGCGGUCCGCCUCGAGGUGGAUACUGCUCGUCCUGUGUUCGACGUCGUGGUGGUUCCUUGGUGCUCUUGACUGAGUGUCUCGGACGGUCCCGAACGUUUACUUUGAAAAAAUUAGAGUGCUCAAAGCAGGCGUAUCGCCUGAAUAAUUCCGCAUGGAAUAAUGGAAUAGGACCUCGGUUCCAGUUUCGUUGGUUUGCGAAUCCUUGAGGUAAUGAUUAAUAGGGACUGCCGGGGGCAUACGUAUUGCGGCGGGAGAGGUGAAAUUCGUGGAUCGCCGCAAGACGAACGACAGCGAAAGCAUUUGCCAAGAAUGUUCUCAUUAAUCAAGAACGAAAGUCAGAGGUUCGAAGACGAUCAGAUACCGUCGUAGUUCUGACCCUAAACGAUGCCGACCGUCGAUCCGCCGGAGUUACUACCAUGACUCGGCGGGAAGCCUCCGGGAAACCAAAGUCUUUGGGUUCCGGGGGGAGUAUGGUUGCAAAACUGAAACUUAAAGGAAUUGACGGAAGGGCACCACCAGGAGUGGAGCCUGUGGCUUAAUU
This 604-nucleotide ribosomal RNA is filed under the name Macoma balthica. Its description in RNAcentral is "SSU rRNA". It matches the Rfam family "Eukaryotic small subunit ribosomal RNA", at positions 592 to 1195 of the family's 1831-position model. Lineage: Eukaryota; Metazoa; Mollusca; Bivalvia; Cardiida; Tellinidae. The record is from RNAcentral.